AACGAACGCUGGCGGCGGGCCUAAAACAUGCAAGUCGAACGAACCUUCGGGUUAGUGGCGCACGGGUGCGUAACGCGUGGGAAUGUGCCUCUGGAUGCGGAACAACGUCGGGAAACUGACGCUAAUACCGCAUAAUAUCUACGGAUCAAAGGUUUAUCGCCCAGAGAUCAGCCCGCGUCUGAUUAGGUAGUUGGUAGGGUAAUGGCCUACCAAGCCUACGAUCAGUAGCUGGUCUGAGAGGAUGAUCAGCCACACUGGAACUGAGACACGGUCCAGACUCCUACGGGAGGCAGCAGUUAGGAAUAUUGGACAGUGGGGGAAACCCUGAUCCAGCCAUGCCGCGUGUGUGAAGAAGGCCUUAGGGUUGUAAAGCACUUUCGUCUAUGAAGAUAAUGACAGUAGUAGAAGAAGAAGCUCCGGCUAAAUUCGUGCCAGCCGCCGCAGUAA
This 447-nucleotide ribosomal RNA is filed under the name uncultured bacterium. RNAcentral's name for it is "partial 16S ribosomal RNA". It matches the Rfam family "Bacterial small subunit ribosomal RNA", at positions 29 to 523 of the family's 1533-position model. The record is from RNAcentral.